CCAGACAAGCUGAGAGGUGGUGCAUGGCCGUCGCCAGCUCGUGCCGUGAGAUGUCCUGUUAAGUCAGGUAACGAGCGAGAUCCCUGCCUCUAGUUGCCACCAUUACUCUCAGGAGUAGUGGGGCGAAUUAGCGGGACCGCCGCAGUUAAUGCGGAGGAAGGAAGGGGCCACGGCAGGUCAGUAUGCCCCGAAACUCUGGGGCCACACGCGGGCUGCAAUGGUAGCGACAAUUGGUUUCGAAUCCGAAAGGAUGAGGUAAUCCACAAACGCUACCACAGUUAUGACUGAGGGCUGCAACUCGCCCUCACGAAUAUGGAAUCCCUAGUAACUGCGUGUCAUUAUCGCGCGGUGAAUACGUCCCUGCUCCUUGCACACACCGCCCGUCGUUUCAUUGAAGUGAGCUUUUAGCGAGGUGACGUCUGAUUGGCGUUAUCGAACUUGAGGUUCGUGACAAGGGAAAAGUCGUAACAAGGU
This 474-nucleotide ribosomal RNA is filed under the name uncultured archaeon. Its description in RNAcentral is "bacterial SSU rRNA". It matches the Rfam family "Archaeal small subunit ribosomal RNA", at positions 971 to 1444 of the family's 1478-position model. The record is from RNAcentral.